RNAcentral lists this ribosomal RNA (449 nucleotides) under uncultured bacterium. RNAcentral's name for it is "partial 16S ribosomal RNA". It matches the Rfam family "Bacterial small subunit ribosomal RNA", at positions 29 to 523 of the family's 1533-position model. The record is from RNAcentral.
AACGAACGCUGGCGGCGGGCCUAACACAUGCAAGUCGAACGCUGUAGCGAUACAGAGUGGCAGACGGGUGAGUAACGCGUGGGAACCUUCCCAAUGGUACGGAAUAGCCCAGGGAAACUUGGGGUAAUACCGUAUACGCCCCUAGGGGGCAAGAUUUAUCGACAUUGGAUGGGCCCGCGUCGGAUUAGCUAGUUUGUGAGGUAAUGGCGCACCAAGGCAACGAUCCGUAGCUGGUUUGAGAGAAUGACCAGCCACACUGGGACUGAGACACGGCCCAGACUCCUACGGGAGGCAGCAGUGGGGAAUCUUGGACAAUGGGCGCAAGCCUGAUCCAGCCAUGCCGCGUGAGUGACGAAGGCCUUAGGGUUGUAAAGCUCUUUUGCCGGGGACGAUAAUGACGGUACCCGGAGAAUAAGUCCCGGCUAACUUCGUGCCAGCAGCCGCGGUAA